UCAGGACGAACGCUGGCGGCGUGCCUAAUACAUGCAAGUCGAACGGCUUUUCUAUGGAAGCUUGCUUCCACUGAGAAGAUAGUGGCGAAACGGGUGAGUAACACGUGGGUAACCUGCCCAUAAGAGGGGGGAUAACAUCCGGAAACGGGUGCUAAUACCGCAUAGUUUUCUUGAUCGCAUGAUUGAGAAAGGAAAGACGGCCUUUGUGCUGUCGCUUAUGGAUGGACCCGCGGCGUAUUAGUUAGUUGGUGAGGUAACGGCUCACCAAGACGAUGAUACGUAGCCGACCUGAGAGGGUGAUCGGCCACAUUGGGACUGAGACACGGCCCAAACUCCUACGGGAGGCAGCAGUAGGGAAUCUUCCGCAAUGGACGAAAGUCUGACGGAGCAACGCCGCGUGAGUGAAGAAAAGGUUUUCGGAUCGUAAAACUCUGUUGUCAGAGAAGAACAAGUUGGAGAGUAACUGCUCCAGCCUUGACGGUAUCUAACCAGAAAGCCACGGCUAACUACGUGCCAGCCGCUGC
Molecule: ribosomal RNA, 524 nt
Filed under: uncultured bacterium
Lineage: Bacteria
Description: bacterial SSU rRNA
Rfam family: Bacterial small subunit ribosomal RNA
Source: RNAcentral